RNAcentral lists this unclassified non-coding RNA (279 nucleotides) under plant metagenome. Its description in RNAcentral is "partial contains small subunit ribosomal RNA, internal transcribed spacer 1, and 5.8S ribosomal RNA". The record is from RNAcentral.
UUUCCGUAGGUGAACCUGCGGAAGGAUCAUUAUUGUAUAACCGAGGUGCGAGGGCUGUCGCUGACCCGAAUGGUUGUGCACGCGCGAGUUCCCUCGCACACAUCCAUCUCACCCCUAUGUGCACCACCGCGUGGGUCACCCAUUGGCUUGUUCGGAGGGGGGCUUACGUUUUCCCACCAACUUAAUAUGCUGAGUAGAAUGUAUUUUUUGUUUUUGUGAUCACGCAAUCAAUACAACUUGCAACAACGGAUCUCUUGGCUCUCUCAUCUAUGAAAAACC